RNAcentral lists this ribosomal RNA (490 nucleotides) under uncultured bacterium. RNAcentral describes it as "partial 16S ribosomal RNA". It matches the Rfam family "Bacterial small subunit ribosomal RNA", at positions 29 to 505 of the family's 1533-position model. The record is from RNAcentral.
AGUGAACGCUGGCGGUAGGCCUAACACAUGCAAGUCGAACGGCAGCACAGUAAGAGCUUGCUCUUACGGGUGGCGAGUGGCGGACGGGUGAGGAAUACAUCGGAAUCUACUUUUUCGUGGGGGAUAACGUAGGGAAACUUACGCUAAUACCGCAUACGACCUACGGGUGAAAGCAGGGGAUCUUCGGACCUUGCGCGAUUGAAUGAGCCGAUGUCGGAUUAGCUAGUUGGCGGGGUAAAGGCCCACCAAGGCGACGAUCCGUAGCUGGUCUGAGAGGAUGAUCAGCCACACUGGAACUGAGACACGGUCCAGACUCCUACGGGAGGCAGCAGUGGGGAAUAUUGGACAAGGGGCGCAAGCCUGAUCCAGCCAUACCGCGUGGGUGAAGAAGGCCUUCGGGUUGUAAAGCCCUUUUGUUGGGAAAGAAAAGCAGCAGGUUAAUACCCCGCUGUUCUGACGGUACCCAAAGAAUAAGCACCGGCGAACUUCG